Non-coding RNA from Schizosaccharomyces pombe (fission yeast), 610 nucleotides. The record is from the annotation of a GenBank genome assembly. NCBI's taxonomy places the organism in Eukaryota, Fungi, Ascomycota, Schizosaccharomycetes, Schizosaccharomycetales, Schizosaccharomycetaceae.
AUCAUCGGCUGUCACGUCUUGAUAACGGGCUAAGUUACUAACCAAAUGCGCAUAAUAAACAGGUGGAACCAAGGAAACAGCACUUGUUGCUCUUGCAUAAACAUAACAAAGAUUAUAACACAGUGUUUGGAAUUGGUCCGGUGGCAUCUGAAUUUCGUCGUGCAAAACCGUGUAGUGAACUGGGACCGAAACGCCUUGCAGAGAUGGGUGGGAUAUAAGGUAAAAAUCGUACUGAUAGGGGUGAGUAACAUGCUUUUCAAUAAUUGUACCAGGGAGGGGAUUUCCAUUUCUAUCUCCGUCGGAUUUGUUCUUAAUGAAGAAACGAGCGUGAUGUCUCUUCUGCGUUGUGCAUACUAGAAUCUUUGGAUUGUAUUUUGGUGAUAGACUAUGACACGCUUCUUUAAUCUGAGAAAGCUCAUCGUUUAUUACUGAUAAAAAUUGUCCUUCCGAGGUACCGUCACGGAAAUAGAUAAUACGUUGUGGUUGUUGUUUAGUCAUUGCCCUAAACCCUUGCAAUAGAUAUACCACGAUAUCCUUCAUUCCUUCAAUCACUUCUUGAUGACGAGGUUGGGAACGUGAAACAGCCGUAUACUUGCAGCCAUUUAGGUCU